GAUGAACGCUGGCGGCGUGCCUAAUACAUGCAAGUCGAGCGAACAGACGAGGAGCUUGCUCCUCUUACGUUAGCGGCGGACGGGUGAGUAACACGUGGGUAACCUACCUAUAAGACUGGGAUAACUUCGGGAAACCGGAGCUAAUACCGGAUAAUAUAUGGAACCGCAUGGCUCAAUAGUGAAAGGCGGUUUUGCUGUCACUUAUAGAUGGAUCCGGUCCGCAUUAGUUAGUUGGUAAGGUAACGGCUUACCAAGGCAACGAUGCUUAGCGGACCUGGAGGGGUGAUGGGCCACCCUGGAACUAAGACACGGUCCAGACUCCUACGGGAGGCAGCAGUAGGGAAUCUUGCGCAAUGGGCGAACGCCUGACGGAGCAACGCCGCGUGAGUGAUGAAGGUCUUCGGAUCGAAAAACUCUGUUAUUAGGGAAGAAGAAAUGUGUAAGUAACUAUGCACGUCGUGACGGUACCUAAUCAGAAAGCCACGGCUAACUACGUG
Molecule: ribosomal RNA, 497 nt
Filed under: uncultured bacterium
Lineage: Bacteria
Description: partial 16S ribosomal RNA
Rfam family: Bacterial small subunit ribosomal RNA
Source: RNAcentral